Molecule: long non-coding RNA, 290 nt
Filed under: Nicotiana benthamiana
Lineage: Eukaryota; Viridiplantae; Streptophyta; Magnoliopsida; Solanales; Solanaceae
Description: long non-coding RNA (NBEN_LNC037728)
Source: RNAcentral
GCAGAAAUAAGCUAGGAUUCAGUAGUAAAGCAAAUAUUCGAAGCAUAUUAAUCAAGUAGGUCAAGUUACAUUGAAUUAGCAGGGAAGCAAAUAGAGUAUCAUAAACAUGCAAAGGUUUCAUAGUAGCAGGUGAGGAAUCCUUUUUUUAAAAGUUAGGGUUUCAACACCAGUUGAGUUGAGAGAUAGUAAAAUCAGAUAAAUUGUAUAAAAAAAAAAGUCUACAACAAAUCUUUCAAUUGAGUCAAGUACUCAAACAAAUAAUUUUAGAUCAAGAAGACCUAGGGUUUUCA